UACAGAGGGGGCAAGCGUUGUUCGGAAUUACUGGGCGUAAAGGGCGCGUAGGCGGCCUGCUAAGUCGAACGUGAAAUCCCCGUGCUCAACCCGGGAACUGCGUCCGAUACUGGCAGGCUUGAAUCCGGGAGAGGGAUGUGGAAUUCCAGGUGUAGCGGUGAAAUGCGUAGAUAUCUGGAGGAACACCGGUGGCGAAGGCGGCAUCCUGGACCGGCAUUGACGCUGAGGCGCGAAAGCCAGGGGAGCAAACGGG
Molecule: ribosomal RNA, 253 nt
Filed under: uncultured bacterium
Lineage: Bacteria
Description: partial 16S ribosomal RNA
Rfam family: Bacterial small subunit ribosomal RNA
Source: RNAcentral